RNAcentral lists this ribosomal RNA (380 nucleotides) under Trichoniscus cf. gudauticus gudauticus. Its description in RNAcentral is "partial large subunit ribosomal RNA". It matches the Rfam family "Archaeal large subunit ribosomal RNA", at positions 2013 to 2628 of the family's 2987-position model. The record is from RNAcentral. Lineage: Eukaryota; Metazoa; Arthropoda; Malacostraca; Isopoda; Trichoniscidae.
GUAUUCUGACUGUGCUAAGGUAGCAUAAUCAUUUGUCUUUUCAUUGAAGUCUAGAAUAAACGGUUAGACGAAGGGAUUAUUUUUUUUAAGGUGACUAAAAUAACUUUUUAAAAAAGUUAAAAAACUUUUAUCUACUAGGGGGACGACAAGACCCUAAAAUCUGCCUUAUAAAAAAAUCUAGAAACAUUACCUUAAAAGGCUUACUGGGGCGGUAAAUAUUAUAAACAAUCUAAAUUAUACCGUCAUUGACGAAUUUAAACAACCUUUAAAUACAAAUAAAAAGAUACUUUAGGGAUAACAGCAUGAUUUUUCUACAGAGCUCUUAUCGCCAGAAAAGAUUAUGACCUCGAUGUUGAAUUGAGCACACUAAUGUAAGCAGC